GGUUAAGCGACUAAGCGUACACGGUGGAUGCCCUGGCAGUCAGAGGCGAUGAAGGACGUGCUAAUCUGCGAUAAGCGUCGGUAAGGUGAUAUGAACCGUUAUAACCGGCGAUUUCCGAAUGGGGAAACCCAGUGUGAUUCGUCACACUAUCAUUAACUGAAUCCAUAGGUUAAUGAGGCGAACCGGGGGAACUGAAACAUCUAAGUACCCCGAGGAAAAGAAAUCAACCGAGAUUCCCCCAGUAGCGGCGAGCGAACGGGGAGCAGCCCAGAGCCUGAAUCAGUGUGUGUGUUAGUGGAAGCGUCUGGAAAGGCGUGCGAUACAGGGUGACAGCCCCGUACACAAAAAUGCACAUACUGUGAGCUCGAUGAGUAGGGCGGGACACGUGGUAUCCUGUCUGAAUAUGGGGGGACCAUCCUCCAAGGCUAAAUACUCCUGACUGACCGAUAGUGAACCAGUACCGUGAGGGAAAGGCGAAAAGAACCCCGGCGAGGGGAGUGAAAAAGAACCUGAAACCGUGUACGUACAAGCAGUGGGAGCACGCUUAGGCGUGUGACUGCGUACCUUUUGUAUAAUGGGUCAGCGACUUAUAUUCUGUAGCAAGGUUAACCGAAUAGGGGAGCCGAAGGGAAACCGAGUCUUAACUGGGCGUUAAGUUGCAGGGUAUAGACCCGAAACCCGGUGAUCUAGCCAUGGGCAGGUUGAAGGUUGGGUAACACUAACUGGAGGACCGAACCGACUAAUGUUGAAAAAUUAGCGGAUGACUUGUGGCUGGGGGUGAAAGGCCAAUCAAACCGGGAGAUAGCUGGUUCUCCCCGAAAGCUAUUUAGGUAGCGCCUCGUGAAUUCAUCUCCGGGGGUAGAGCACUGUUUCGGCAAGGGGGUCAUCCCGACUUACCAACCCGAUGCAAACUGCGAAUACCGGAGAAUGUUAUCACGGGAGACACACGGCGGGUGCUAACGUCCGUCGUGAAGAGGGAAACAACCCAGACCGCCAGCUAAGGUCCCAAAGUCAUGGUUAAGUGGGAAACGAUGUGGGAAGGCCCAGACAGCCAGGAUGUUGGCUUAGAAGCAGCCAUCAUUUAAAGAAAGCGUAAUAGCUCACUGGUCGAGUCGGCCUGCGCGGAAGAUGUAACGGGGCUAAACCAUGCACCGAAGCUGCGGCAGCGACGCUUAUGCGUUGUUGGGUAGGGGAGCGUUCUGUAAGCCUGUGAAGGUGUGCUGUGAGGUAUGCUGGAGGUAUCAGAAGUGCGAAUGCUGACAUAAGUAACGAUAAAGCGGGUGAAAAGCCCGCUCGCCGGAAGACCAAGGGUUCCUGUCCAACGUUAAUCGGGGCAGGGUGAGUCGACCCCUAA
This 1354-nucleotide ribosomal RNA is filed under the name Shigella flexneri. RNAcentral describes it as "partial 23S ribosomal RNA". It matches the Rfam family "Bacterial large subunit ribosomal RNA", at positions 1 to 1394 of the family's 2925-position model. Lineage: Bacteria; Pseudomonadati; Pseudomonadota; Gammaproteobacteria; Enterobacterales; Enterobacteriaceae. The record is from RNAcentral.